Molecule: ribosomal RNA, 495 nt
Filed under: uncultured bacterium
Lineage: Bacteria
Description: bacterial SSU rRNA
Rfam family: Bacterial small subunit ribosomal RNA
Source: RNAcentral
AGUAACGCGUAUCCAACCUUCCGUACACUCAGGGAUAGCCUUUCGAAAGAAAGAUUAAUACCUGAUGGUAUGAUGAGAUUGCAUGAUAGCAUCAUUAAAGAUUCAUCGGUGUACGAUGGGGAUGCGUUCCAUUAGGUAGUAGGCGGGGUAACGGCCCACCUAGCCUACGAUGGAUAGGGGUUCUGAGAGGAAGGUCCCCCACAUUGGAACUGAGACACGGUCCAAACUCCUACGGGAGGCAGCAGUGAGGAAUAUUGGUCAAUGGACGAGAGUCUGAACCAGCCAAGUAGCGUGAAGGAUGAAGGUCCUACGGAUUGUAAACUUCUUUUAUAAGGGAAUAAAACCUCCCACGUGUGGGAGCUUGUAUGUACCUUAUGAAUAAGCAUCGGCUAACUCCGUGCCAGCAGCCGCGGUAAUACGGAGGAUGCGAGCGUUAUCCGGAUUUAUUGGGUUUAAAGGGAGCGCAGACGGGUCGUUAAGUCAGCUGUGAAAGUU